Molecule: non-coding RNA, 777 nt
Filed under: Nudobius lentus
Lineage: Eukaryota; Metazoa; Arthropoda; Insecta; Coleoptera; Staphylinidae
Source: RNAcentral
UAAAAGUUUUAUUCUAGCUUAAAAAAUUAAUUUUUAAUUUGAUUUAUAUGUAAAUUUUAGUAUAAAUAAAUUUAAAUUUAAAAAAUUAAAAUUUAAUUAAAAUCUCAGUAAAUAAUUUUAUAAAUUAAAGAAAUUUAGAUUUAGAAAUUUAAAAUAAUAUUAACAAAAUUUGUGCCAGCAGUUGCGGUUAUACAUAUAAUAUAAUUAAUUUUAAUUAGUAAAAAAUAAAUUUGUUUAUUUAAAGUAAAAUUAAAUUUAUUAAGUGAAAUUUUAAAUUUAAUAUAAUUUUAUUUAAGAAAAGUUAUAUUAGGAAAUUUUGAAUUAAACUAGGAUUAGAUACCCUAUUAUUAAAAAUGUAUUAAUAAAUACUAGGUGAUUAACAGUUAAGUUCUUGAAAAUUAAAGAAUUUGGCGGUGUUUUAGUCUAUUUAGAGGAACCUGUUCUAUAAUUGAUACUCCACAAUUUUAUUUACUUAAUUUAAUUAAUUUGUAUAUCGUCGUAGUUGAAUAUUUUUUAAGAAUUAAAAUAUUCAAAAAUUUUUAUAAAAAAAUAAAUCAGAUCAAGGUGCAGUUUAUAAUUAAGUAGAAAUGGGUUACAAUAAAGUUAUUUUUGGAUUAAAUUAUUUUAAAUAGUUAUGAAAUUGGAUUUAAUAGUAAUAAAAUUUAAUUAAAUUUUAUGAUUGUAGCUCUAAAAUAUGCACAUAUCGCCCGUCGCUCUCAUUUAAAAUGAGAUAAGUCGUAACAAAGUAGGAGUACUGGAAAGUGUUCCUAGAAAGUC